AAGAGUAGGGGUAGGUGAUUGCAGGCAACCUCUUGUACGAGGUCUUGUACGAGGCUAGCUUGAGGAAAGUCCGGGCUCCCGAAAGACCAGACUUGCUGGGUAAUUCCCAGUGCGAGCGAUCGUGAGGAUAGUGCCACAGAAACAUACCGCCGAUGGGAUUCACGGUUCCUGUGAGCACUGCUCACGGGAAUUGUAGUCUACAGGUAAGGGUGCAAAGGUGCGGUAAGAGCGCACCAGCAACAUUGAGAAGUGUUGGCUCGGUAAACCCCGGUUGGGAGCAAGGUCGAAGGGGCAACGGUUGGUCUUUUCCCCGCCCCACUGAUGUGUACCGCUUGAGGUGAUUGGUAACAAUCGUCCCAGAUAGAUAAUCGCCCUCUUUGCGUUUGUCAGGAACGUGAAGAGAACAGAACCCGGCUUACGACCUACUCUUCUGU
This 434-nucleotide RNase P RNA is filed under the name Cyanothece sp. SIO2G6. RNAcentral's name for it is "RNase P RNA component class A". It matches the Rfam family "Bacterial RNase P class A". From Rfam's summary of the family: Ribonuclease P (RNase P) is a ubiquitous endoribonuclease, found in archaea, bacteria and eukarya as well as chloroplasts and mitochondria. Its best characterised activity is the generation of mature 5'-ends of tRNAs by cleaving the 5'-leader elements of precursor-tRNAs. The record is from RNAcentral. Lineage: Bacteria; Bacillati; Cyanobacteriota; Cyanophyceae; Gomontiellales; Cyanothecaceae.